Capra hircus (goat) is the source of this 2709-nucleotide long non-coding RNA. RefSeq lists it as uncharacterized. Lineage: Eukaryota; Metazoa; Chordata; Mammalia; Artiodactyla; Bovidae. The record is from RefSeq and is a predicted model, not a curated record. The transcript has 7 exons.
GAAUGGACAUGAACUACUAAUCAUUCUGUUAUGAUCAAGACCUUCAUGGUUGAAGGAUGGAUCGACUGUAACUCAUUAAGUUAUUCUCCACCCUUGAAGAGCUUUGCCUAAUGCCUCUGGGGAAGGAGCACACCAUCUCCCAAAUGGAUGCGGUACCCGUAUUGCCCUGUCCCAGAAGAACGAAGAGUUCAACUGAGUUUUUACAGAAUGCCAGUUAGGAUGAGCCCAGACUACUCACCUUUCAGGCAGCAUCACAGACAACAAGAAACCUUGGCCGUCGGGCUUGGACUAUAGCCAUCUCCCUCACAAGGAUUUGAUGUUGGCUCAAACCACUGACCUUUCUACUGCAGACUGAACAGGAAGGACAACAAGGUGUGCCUUUGGGGACGUCACCAGGCCUCUCCAGGUCCCAUGCCCGUCAUCUGUAAAAGGGAAGUCAAAUUUCAUUCAUUGAUUCUGCCAGCAUCUUGAAAGUGUGAAGAGCUGUGCCCUGACCGGAGUUGUUUGCACGGAGCCCGUGGAGGUGUGGUUGGCGGAGCACAGGACUUCCCGUGGGUGAUUCCGAUCGGUGUAUCCCUUCCUUCGCUGGAAAAACAGACACAUUUAUUGCAAAACACUGAACAGAGCAAGAGGAAAAACAGGACUCCCCCUAGUCUCAUCACUCAAAGAUGACCACUGCCAGCGUUUUGAAGACCAGCUUCUGGUCUUUUGGUUUCACCUGUAAAUUGCAAAAGUGAGUGUGUGUGUGUGUUUGUGUAUGUAUACAUAUAUACCCACAUUUUUAAUUGGGUUCAUCAUAGCCAUCCUAAUUUUUCACCUAAGUAGACAUCCUAAAUAUUUCCCAUGCCAUUAAGUAAUUUCUUAUCUUAUGAUUUUUUUCCUACCUAGUAUCCUAGCAAAUGACUAUAUCAUAAUUGAUUUAAUUGACUCACUCUUGUCAGAUAUUUACAUGAUUUUUAAAAGUUGGAUGAUAAAAGUUGGAGUGAGCAGCUUUGUUUUUUCAUCUUCACAUAUGUUCACAUUUGUGCUCAUAAGAGUGGACUGGCCGUGUCAAAAGGUGUGAGCAUUUUAUGGCCAAAUUGUCCCCCUGGAACGUUAUACCAAUUUACAUUCUCAGAAUCGGUUUAACAAGUGACUUUCUCUGGGAAUUAUCAAGGUUUUAAACAUUCAUCAAUUUGUCAAAUUUCAUUCUUCUCAUUUUCAGUUCUUUUAUUAUCUGUGAUUAGAGCAUUUGCCCUGUAUCUUUAUUGGUUCUCGGUAGCUGAAUUGCCAGUUCAGUUUCUUUGCUUUAUUCAGCUUUCAUUAAGUUUUAUUUUUGUCAAAGUCACGCAUAUGCUUCAUCUUAAGAGUUGAAUAGCUUUACAAGAUUAUGUAGAAGCAUCUUUCUCCACUCCAAUUCCAUACCCUACUCCACCUGAGCUACAGCGUUUUACUCUUUUAAAUGGUUCUUUUGACAUUUACAACAAGUUUUCUAAGUAACAUUCUGAUUUUUCUAGUUCUCGAAAGAAAAUUUUUUUUUUUUGACUUAGGCAUUAUCUUGACUUUUCAACCACAGAAAAUGAAGAUUUAAAACUUCCACCUUUGGCCUCAACACACACAAGAAUACCUGUCUGUCCCCUUCUUUUAAUAUAUUUAGCUCAGUUUGGUUUGAUCAGUAUCCAGUCUUUAUAUAUUACAACAGGGUAAAUACUGGAGAGCACAACAGCACUGUGAUUGUUUAUUUUCUUUUGCAACUUUUGUUUUCUCUGGAGUCGAUAAUUGUUUUCGUUUUGUCUUUCUUUUUUCCUUCUCUCUUUGGUUGGUUAGUAAUGAACGUAUCCCAAAUUCAUCUCCAGCCUUUCAUGACAUCCAAACAGUUAGUGUUUUUCAUUUUUAUUUAAUGUGUUUUAUCGUUUUGAAGACAUCUCUUCCUGGAGCCUCCUUCCCUCUUUUGUUCAGGAUUGGUUCAUCUUUGGGCUUUCUGCCCUUAUAGUGGAAUCACUUCCUCAUUUCUUCCUGGGGAUUCUCCUUGGUCGGAUCCCUAGUUCUGUAAAUCCUGUGUUAUUCUCAUUUUUUGUUUACUCCCUUGUUUAGCUAGAGUGCAUCCUCUAGCAGUUUCCUGGUAAAGGGUCCAUAGGAGGUAAAUUUUUGGAGAUCUUUCACAUAAGAAAAGGGUAAUGUCUAGUCCACACUGAUGUUGAUAGUUUAGCUUGGUACAGAAUUCUAGUUGGUGCCUUUUUUCCCCUUUAGAUUUGAAAAGCAUAAACAGUUGUCUUCUAACUUCCAGUGAUAUUGAUUGAUCAGAAGUCUGAAGACUUCUGAUUCCCAUCCCUUGUAUGUGAUCUUCUGUUACCCUCCGUUUCUGGAACUUCUCGUCUUUUCUCAUUGUGUUUUGAAUUUCAUGUGUAUGUAUUUUGCUGUGGUCUACAUUGAUCCUUUUUGCCAGACCCUUUUGAUCUGAAAGCAUAUGUCUUUCAGUUGUAGACAUUUCUGGUUCAAUUCCUUGGACAAUGGCCUCCCAUCCGUUUUCUCUUGAACUUAGUAUGUUGGAUCUCUUUGACAGGUUCUCUGCUUUUCAUGUAUUUUUCCUCUGAUUUUCGUAUCUUAAUCUCUUUGUUCUCUUACUGAGCAAUUACUCUGUCUUCAUCUUUUAAUCUAUUUUCAUUUCUGCAAUCUCUGAUUUUCAAGAAUCUUUUGUUACACUCCAAAUAUUAUUUUAUUGAAUUUUGU